CCUACGGGUGGCAGCAGUGAGGAAUAUUGGUCAAUGGCCGGAAGGCUGAACCAGCCAAGCCGCGUGAAGGACGAAGGUUCCAAGCAUUGUAAACUUCUUUUGUCAAGGGACAAACUCAGGUACGAGAGCCUGACCGAGGGUACUUGAAGAAAAAGCAUCGGCUAACUCCGUGCCAGCAGCCGCGGUAAUACGGAGGAUGCGAGCGUUAUCCGGAUUUAUUGGGUUUAAAGGGUGCGUAGGCGGACUUUUAAGUCAGAGGUUAAAUGACCGGGCUCAACCCCGGGGGAGCGUUUGAAACUGGUGGUCUUGAGAUGAGGAGAGGUAUGCGGAAUGCGCAGUGUAGCGGUGAAAUGCGUAGAGAUUGGGCAGAACUCCGAUUGCGAAGGCAGCAUACCGGCGGCGAUCUGACGUUGAGGCACGAAAGCGUGGGGAGCGAACAGGAUUAGAUACCCGGGUAGUC
RNAcentral lists this ribosomal RNA (460 nucleotides) under uncultured bacterium. RNAcentral's name for it is "partial 16S ribosomal RNA". It matches the Rfam family "Bacterial small subunit ribosomal RNA", at positions 338 to 795 of the family's 1533-position model. The record is from RNAcentral.